CCUACGGGAGGCAGCAGUGGGGAAUAUUGCACAAUGGGGGAAACCCUGAUGCAGCAACGCCGCGUGAGUGAUGAAGUAUUUCGGUAUGUAAAGCUCUAUCAGCAGGGAAGAAAAUGACGGUAACUGACUAAGAAGCCCCCGCUAACUACGUGCCAGCAGCCGCGGUAAUACGUAGGGGGCAAGCGUUAUCCGGAUUUACUGGGUGUAAAGGGAGCGUAGACGGCGGUGCAAGUCAGAUGUGAAAGCCCGGGGCUCAACCGCGGGACUGCAUUUGAAACUGUGCUGCUAGAGUGUCGGAGAGGCAGGAGGAAUUCCUAGUGUAGCGGUGAAAUGCGUAGAUAUUAGGAGGAACACCAGUGGCGAAGGCGGCUUGCUGGACGGUGACUGACGUUGAGGCUCGAAAGCGUGGGGAGCAAACAGGAUUAGAUACCCGAGUAGUC
This 440-nucleotide ribosomal RNA is filed under the name uncultured bacterium. RNAcentral's name for it is "partial 16S ribosomal RNA". It matches the Rfam family "Bacterial small subunit ribosomal RNA", at positions 338 to 795 of the family's 1533-position model. The record is from RNAcentral.